RNAcentral lists this transfer-messenger RNA (392 nucleotides) under uncultured Alloprevotella sp. It matches the Rfam family "transfer-messenger RNA". From Rfam's summary of the family: Bacterial tmRNA, also known as 10Sa RNA or SsrA, is named for its dual tRNA and mRNA-like properties. Its role is to liberate the mRNA from a stalled ribosome. Lineage: Bacteria; Pseudomonadati; Bacteroidota; Bacteroidia; Bacteroidales; Prevotellaceae. The record is from RNAcentral.
GACCGGAUUUGACAGCGAGUCGGAGUGGUAUGUAAGCACGCAGUGCGCCUGAAAGUGGGCACUUAAAUCUCGGCUUUCAAGAAUUUAACUGGCGAAAACAACUUUGCUCUCGCUGCCUAAUCGAAGUACAGUAGAUUGGCUUUAUUCCGACACAAGGUGUUGGAACGAGACAUCACCCAAGCGCUCUUGCUCCGAAGCUUCUUGACAAGGUGGUGCAGCAAAAUCGGAGAUAGUUCAGCCUGGCCUCACAGGUAGAGCGAAACUCUUAGAGGAUAAGGUUGCGGUUGGUGGCACCGGUCUUGCCGCAGCACGAAAAUGAAGUCGGUGAUAAGCGUGUAGAAAGCAUUCUAUUUCCUCGUUUGGACGAGGGUUCAACUCCCUCCUGGUCCACU